RNAcentral lists this unclassified non-coding RNA (288 nucleotides) under Hevea brasiliensis (rubber tree). Lineage: Eukaryota; Viridiplantae; Streptophyta; Magnoliopsida; Malpighiales; Euphorbiaceae. The record is from RNAcentral.
AGGAGCUGUUGAAUAUAGGAUCCUUUCACAGUUAAGAGUGCUGGACCAAACUGCAGAAAAUAACAUGGGAUGUCCAUAUGCUCUUGAAUUUUCUUUCAGGCGCUCAUAUUUUGUUAAAAGUGUUCUGCCUCAGGAACUGUUAGUUGAUGGUGGAUUCUAAAUAGACAGUUGAAGAAGACUUGAAUAUAAGUAGAAAGGGGAGAAUUUAAAUUUAAUAUGAUCAUGAAAAUGACCAUGGGUUGUACCAUUACUGAUUUUGUUAGUUUCCUGGUUGAUUCUUUUGUGAAU